GUGUCAGCAGCCGCGGUAAAACGUAGGGGGCGAGCGUUAUCCGGAAUCACUGGGCGUAAAGGGCGUCUAGGCGGCCGCUUUAGUCGUGCGUGAAAGCUCCCGGCUCAACUGGGAGAGGGCGCACGAUACUGGGCGGCUCGAGACUCAGAGGGGGGUGUGGAAUUCCCGGUGGAGUGGUGAAAUGCGUUGAGAUCGGGAGGAACACCAGUGGCGAAGGCGGCACCCUGGCUGAGGUCUGACGCUGAAGCGCGACAGCGUGGGGAGCAAACGGGAUUAGAAACCCUCGUAGUCC
This 292-nucleotide ribosomal RNA is filed under the name uncultured bacterium. RNAcentral's name for it is "partial 16S ribosomal RNA". It matches the Rfam family "Bacterial small subunit ribosomal RNA", at positions 505 to 796 of the family's 1533-position model. The record is from RNAcentral.